This 428-nucleotide RNase P RNA is filed under the name Alicyclobacillus tolerans. RNAcentral's name for it is "Bacterial RNase P class A". It matches the Rfam family "Bacterial RNase P class A". Rfam says of the family: Ribonuclease P (RNase P) is a ubiquitous endoribonuclease, found in archaea, bacteria and eukarya as well as chloroplasts and mitochondria. Its best characterised activity is the generation of mature 5'-ends of tRNAs by cleaving the 5'-leader elements of precursor-tRNAs. RNAcentral also lists the same sequence under 1 other name. The record is from RNAcentral. Lineage: Bacteria; Bacillati; Bacillota; Bacilli; Caryophanales; Alicyclobacillaceae.
GAAGUAAGCUGGGCAAUCGCCGAUGCAGUGCCGAAAGGCCGCAUGGGAGGAAAGUCCGAGCUCCAUAGGGCAGGGUGCCGGAUAACGUCCGGCGGGAGCGAUCCUAGGGAUAGUGCCACAGAAAUGUAGACCGCCGAUGGCUCUCUUAAGGGUACAGGCAAGGUUGCAACGGUGCGGUAAGAGCGCACCAGCAGCUUGGAGACAAGCUGGCUAGGUAAACCCCACCUGGAGCAAGACCGCAUAGGAGUGCAAAUGUGGCUGCCCGUCACGCACUCGGGUAGGUUGCUUGAGCUGGCUGGCAACAGUCGGCCUAGAUAGAUGAUUGCUGCUCCACACGUGCGAGGCAUUUCUUUGAUUGUUUUGCACUUGACGAGAGUGCCGUUUGUAGCACCGGAGUACAGAACUCGGCUUACAGGCUUGCUUCUUGC